RNAcentral lists this ribosomal RNA (419 nucleotides) under uncultured bacterium. Its description in RNAcentral is "bacterial SSU rRNA". It matches the Rfam family "Bacterial small subunit ribosomal RNA", at positions 362 to 773 of the family's 1533-position model. The record is from RNAcentral.
UAUUGGACAAUGGGCGAAAGCCUGAUCCAGCCAUGCCGCGUGUGUGAAGAAGGUCUUCGGAUUGUAAAGCACUUUAAGUUGGGAGGAAGGGCAGUAAGCGAAUACCUUGCUGUUUUGACGUUACCGACAGAAUAAGCCCCGGCUAACUACGUCCCAGCAGCCGCGGUAAUACGUAGGGGGCAAGCGUUGUUCGGAUUUACUGGGCGUAAAGGGCGCGUAGGCGGCAUGACAAGUCACUUGUGAAAUCUCCGGGCUUAACUCGGAACGGCCAAGUGAUACUGUUGAGCUAGAGUGCAGAAGGGGCAAUCGGAAUUCUUGGUGUAGCGGUGAAAUGCGUAGAUAUCAAGAGGAACACCUGAGGUGAAGACGGGUUGCUGGGCUGACACUGACGCUGAGGCGCGAAAGCUAGGGUAGCAAAC